Molecule: ribosomal RNA, 468 nt
Filed under: uncultured bacterium
Lineage: Bacteria
Description: partial 16S ribosomal RNA
Rfam family: Bacterial small subunit ribosomal RNA
Source: RNAcentral
GACGAACGCUGGCGGCGUGCUUAACACAUGCAAGUCGAACGGAAAGACCCUGCUUUUGUGGGGUGCUCGAGUGGCGAACGGGUGAGUAACACGUGAGUAACCUGCCCUUGACUUUGGGAUAACUUCAGGAAACUGGGGCUAAUACCGGAUAGGAGCUCCUGCUGCCUGGUGGGGGUUGGAAAGUUUCGGCGGUUGGGGAUGGACUCGCGGCUUAUCAGCUUGUUGGUGGGGUAGUGGCUUACCAAGGCUUUGACGGGUAGCCGGCCUGAGAGGGUGACCGGCCACAUUGGGACUGAGAUACGGCCCAGACUCCUACGGGAGGCAGCAGUGGGGAAUAUUGCACAAUGGGCGGAAGCCUGAUGCAGCAACGCCGCGUGCGGGAUGACGGCCUUCGGGUUGUAAACCGCUUUCGCCUGUGACGAAGCGUGAGUGACGGUAAUGGGUAAAGAAGCACCGGCUAACUACGUG